This 492-nucleotide ribosomal RNA is filed under the name uncultured bacterium. RNAcentral describes it as "partial 16S ribosomal RNA". It matches the Rfam family "Bacterial small subunit ribosomal RNA", at positions 29 to 507 of the family's 1533-position model. The record is from RNAcentral.
AGUGAACGCUGGCGGUAGGCCUAACACAUGCAAGUCGAACGGCAGCACAGUAAGAGCUUGCUCUUACGGGUGGCGAGUGGCGGACGGGUGAGGAAUACAUCGGAAUCUACUUUUUCGUGGGGGAUAACGUAGGGAAACUUACGCUAAUACCGCAUACGACCUACGGGUGAAAGCAGGGGAUCUUCGGACCUUGCGCGAUUGAAUGAGCCGAUGUCGGAUUAGCUAGUUGGCGGGGUAAAGGCCCACCAAGGCGACGAUCCGUAGCUGGUCUGAGAGGAUGAUCAGCCACACUGGAACUGAGACACGGUCCAGACUCCUACGGGAGGCAGCAGUGGGGAAUAUUGGACGAUGGGCGCAAGCCUGAUCCAACCAUACCGCGUGGGUGAAGAAGGCCUUCGGGUUGUAAAGCCCUUUUGUUGGGAGAGAAAAGCAGCAGGUUAAUACCCCGCUGUUCUGACGGUACCCAAAGAAUAAGCACCGGCUAACUUCGUG